This 481-nucleotide ribosomal RNA is filed under the name uncultured bacterium. Its description in RNAcentral is "bacterial SSU rRNA". It matches the Rfam family "Bacterial small subunit ribosomal RNA", at positions 903 to 1397 of the family's 1533-position model. The record is from RNAcentral.
AAAUGAAUAGACGGGGGAGCGCACAACCGGUGGAGCAUGUGGUUUAAUUCGAUACAAAGCGAAAAACCUUACCUGGGUUUGACAUGUAACUGCACGGUCUAGGAAACUAGAUCUUCUUCGAGAGUGUUACACAGGUGUUGCAUGGCUGUCGUCAGCUCGUGUCGUGAGGCGUCCACUUAAGUGUGGUAACGAGCGCAACCCUUAUCCCGUGUUACAAGUGUCACGGGAGACUGCCUUGCUUUUUGCAGGGAGGAAGGAGAGGAUGACGUCAAGUCAGCACGACCCUUACAUCCAGGGCGACACACAUCCUACAAUGGAGCCGACAACGGGUAGCGAAGCCGCAAGGUGGAGCCAAUCCUUUAAACGGCCCCUCAGUUCAGAUUGUUCUCUGCAAUUCGAGAGCAUGAAGUCGGAAUCGGUAGUAAUCGCAAAUCAGCAGGUUGCGGUGAAUACGUUCUCGCUCCUUGUACACACCGCCCGU